This 497-nucleotide ribosomal RNA is filed under the name uncultured bacterium. RNAcentral describes it as "partial 16S ribosomal RNA". It matches the Rfam family "Bacterial small subunit ribosomal RNA", at positions 28 to 507 of the family's 1533-position model. The record is from RNAcentral.
GAUGAACGCUGGCGGCGUGCCUAAUACAUGCAAGUCGAGCGAACAGACGAGGAGCUUGCUCCUCUGACGUUAGCGGCGGACGGGUGAGUAAAACGUGGAUAACCUACCUAUAAGACUGGGAUAACUUCGGGAAACCGGAGCUAAUACCGGAUAAUAUAUUGAACCGCAUGGUUCAAUAGUGAGAGACGGUUUUGCUGUCACUUAUAGAUGGAUCCGCGCCGCAUUAGCUAGUUGGUAAGGUAACGGCUUACCAAGGCAACGAUGCGUAGCCGACCUGAGAGGGUGAUCGGCCACACUGGAGCUGAGACACGGUCCAGACUCCUACGGGAGGCAGCAGUAGGGAAUCUUCCGCAAUGGGCGAAAGCCUGACGGAGCAACGCCGCGUGAGUGAUGAAGGUCUUCGGAUCGUAAAACUCUGUUAUUAGGGAAGAACAAAUGUGUAAGUAACUAUGCACGUCUUGACGGUACCUAAUCAGAAAGCCACGGCUAACUACGUG